GAGCAUGCUGAUUAAUUCGAUGCAACGCGAAGAACCUUACCUGGGUUUGACAUAUACCGGCCAGCCGUAGAGAUACGGACCCUUUUAGUCCGUAUACAGGUGGUGCAUGGCUGUCGGCAGCUCGUGUCGUGAGAUGUUGGGUUAAGUCCCGCAACGAGCGCAACCCUCGUUCUAUGUUGCCAGCAAGAAAUGGUGGGGACUCAUAGGAGACUGCCGGGGUCAACUCGGAGGAAG
RNAcentral lists this ribosomal RNA (234 nucleotides) under uncultured bacterium. RNAcentral describes it as "partial 16S ribosomal RNA". It matches the Rfam family "Bacterial small subunit ribosomal RNA", at positions 935 to 1172 of the family's 1533-position model. The record is from RNAcentral.